CCAUGGCUCCAGCCCUGGAUGAUUACAGCACUGCUGGUCCCACCGUGAACUCUCCUCCAACUCUGUCCUUUGCCAUGUAACUACAUGUCUGAACGCAUCAACGCAACAUAAGGCUGCUCAUCAAGGGGAAAGAAAAGAUAGCAGUACUGAGCUCUUUCUUCUCCAAGGCAACAGAAGAAGCACACUGAAGUGAUGUCUGCAAGAAAGAUGCCAUCUGGAAUACCUCUUGAAAUUGCUAAACACUUCUGGUAUUAAGGAAUCAAAAAGUGGAGGAUUUUAGUAGCAACAAGUAGUGACCAAAAAUUUUCUGAGUAGAGAAUAUGAAAGAAUGAAUCAUUUAGGUAAGAUGGCAGAACAGAAAUACAAGAUGCAGCCUACUGAAUCACAAGGAAUUAGUUAAGAACAGAUGGAUGCUUUACUGCAAGACCACAGGAUCAGCUGCAUUGGAUCAGAGUACAGCUUUAUCUAGCUCAUCUAGAUUCAUCAUUCAUCAGCUUCAACCACAGUGGCUACUGUUAGAUGACUAAAAAAUUGCAUAACAAUAAGAUGGACAUCCAGUGAUCCUUUCCUAGCAUUUUCCCCGGUUUUCAGCAAAUUGCAGCUAAAUGCCUCCCUGAAAGGGAAAGCGUCUUUAUGCUUAAUUGUCCUUUAUGUAUUUUUCUGACAGUCUGGUGAUUGAUGAAAUACAACCUAAGAAAGAGUCA
Molecule: non-coding RNA, 704 nt
Organism: Cyanistes caeruleus (blue tit)
Lineage: Eukaryota; Metazoa; Chordata; Aves; Passeriformes; Paridae
Source: RefSeq, a predicted model, not a curated record